GUGGCUGUAGCUCAGUGGAUAGAGCGUUGGGUUGCGGACCCAAAGGCCGGGGGUUCGAGUCCCUCCAGUCACG
RNAcentral lists this transfer RNA (73 nucleotides) under Chloroflexota bacterium. Its description in RNAcentral is "tRNA-Arg". It matches the Rfam family "tRNA". From Rfam's summary of the family: Transfer RNA (tRNA) molecules are approximately 80 nucleotides in length. Lineage: Bacteria; Bacillati; Chloroflexota. RNAcentral also lists the same sequence under 2 other names. The record is from RNAcentral.